RNAcentral lists this ribosomal RNA (483 nucleotides) under uncultured bacterium. RNAcentral's name for it is "partial 16S ribosomal RNA". It matches the Rfam family "Bacterial small subunit ribosomal RNA", at positions 29 to 507 of the family's 1533-position model. The record is from RNAcentral.
UUGCACGCUGGCGGCAUGCUUUACCCCUGCCAGUCGAACGGCAGCGCGGGCUUCGGCCUGGCGGCGAGUGGCGAACGGGUGAGUAAUGCAUCGGAACGUGCCCAGUAGUGGGGGAUAGCCCGGCGAAAGCCGGAUUAAUACCGCAUACGACCUGAGGGUGAAAGCGGGGGACCGAAAGGCCUCGCGCUAUUGGAGCGGCCGAUGUCGGAUUAGCUAGUUGGUGGGGUAAAGGCUUACCAAGGCGACGAUCCGUAGCUGGUCUGAGAGGACGACCAGCCACACUGGGACUGAGACACGGCCCAGACUCCUACGGGAGGCAGCAGUGGGGAAUUUUGGACAAUGGGGGCAACCCUGAUCCAGCCAUGCCGCGUGCGGGAAGAAGGCCUUCGGGUUGUAAACCGCUUUUGUUCGGGAAGAAAUCCUCUGGGCUAAUACCCCGGGGGGAUGACGGUACCGGAAGAAUAAGCACCGGCUAACUACGUG